Long non-coding RNA from Topomyia yanbarensis, 1471 nucleotides. RefSeq lists it as uncharacterized. NCBI's taxonomy places the organism in Eukaryota, Metazoa, Arthropoda, Insecta, Diptera, Culicidae. The transcript has 2 exons. The record is from RefSeq and is a predicted model, not a curated record.
AGUACACGUAUAGUUACCGUUUCAAUCCAUGGUUACGAUUUGUUGUGGCGAUAAGAUUGGCAAAGAAAAGCGAAAUAUUUUUCUCUUUGCAACGAUGUUCAUAAGGAUUUUCUAAAUAUGAUGAACUGCACUGGGGAUAUGAAGGACAUCGUGGAAAAGCUAGAACGGAUUUAACCGAUUUUCAAUCUUGCCGGGUUAUCCUACUUGGUAUAGUCUGUGGCAUAGUAAUCUAGGCUCGAAAGGCCCAGAAACGUCCGCAGAAAAAAAUUCGAUACACUGGAUGUCCCGUCGAAAGAAGCGGAGACUAACAUCAGCCGAAAGCUAAAGUUAAGCGCCAAAUGGUCGCCGAAUUGCGAAAUGAACUGAACACCAUCCUUACGGUCAUGCUGCUGUGGACCUAUUCGCUCCCUUAAAGCAAAUUGAUCAAAUCUAAUAAGAAAUAGUUAUGAGAUGAAGUUUACGAACUACGAGAAAUUAUUUCACCUACUCUGUUUUCUUUUAAAGAAAGGGUGGUAUUAUAUGCAGGUUAGAAAAGUGCCACCUCAUCUGGCCUUGAAUGCGAUCAUUAUUUCCGAGGAGUGCAGGACUAGCAGUAAGCAUGGCCAAACUUAAAUAUAUGGGAUGGUCAUGAUAGAAUCACUGCUGCGCCUGGGAUAUGCAGGUCAAUCAUUCAUAUGAGUAUUCGGUUCAGGAAAGUCGAUUUCAUUCGUCUUGCAUUAGUUCCUUGUUCAAGAAGGCUUGUUUCACAUUAAUGUAUUCAAUUCAACCUGUCUAAGAAAUGUAUCAUGGAUAUGGAAGAACAGCCCUCUCUGUUCCCAUAAUGCUCAUAGGAAGCCAGGUUUUUGGUAAUAACCUUAACAUUAAAGCCACAGAGAACAGACAUCCAUGAUCGAACUAAAAUAUUUAAAAAACGUGUGUAAACAUUUGAAUUAAUAUACGAUAAACAGUAGCGCCGCCACACCAACCUAUCCCAACUAUCCGUCAAAUCCAUUCCGGAACCGGUUCGAAAUCCUGAACGGACUCAGUACGGAAUCUUGCUCAAAGAAAACAUCCGAUUCCGACUCUAUCGGUUGAUGCAUUUGAGCUGAAAUUCAUGUUGGAAGUCCGAACCGGUUCCGGACUAGUUUGACUGGGUAGAGGGAUAACUGCUGUCAAUUCUGUCGAACUUAGCCACAAAAAAAAACAUGACGACAGUAGCGCACCUGGUUUGGAUAUCCGAGCUACCUUCCAAACCGUUAGAGAUUUUACACAAGUUGAAUGCUGAAGAUGGACUGUCUGUUCUCUGUGUUAAAGCUAUGCAAAUAAUGAUAAGUGCUACGAUUAGCCGAUAAGUGAACGACUUAUGUACAUAGAUUGUUGAGACAUCCCGACCGCAUACUGAAAAAUAUUAAACGAAUAUACGCUUUCUAAUGCAUAGAGAUGCAGAAGGAUUUACUUAAAGAGUGAAUACACGUGAUUCGAAUUUGUUUAA